RNAcentral lists this long non-coding RNA (679 nucleotides) under Eucalyptus grandis. RNAcentral describes it as "long non-coding RNA (EGRA_LNC005315)". Lineage: Eukaryota; Viridiplantae; Streptophyta; Magnoliopsida; Myrtales; Myrtaceae. The record is from RNAcentral.
GAGGAGUGGGCUGCAUCGUGCGAACCAGACCAGCCCCGACGCCGCCUCCAUCCGCUCGACCACCGGAGGCUUCGCCGUCGCCGUUUGUCCGCCGUCCUCGCCGUCGCUCGCUCGUGGAAGCCAGUCGAAGCCAGCUGCUGCCGUCGCGCCUCUCCAGCUCGUCCAGUCGCUGCUCCGCUUGCAUCUGCUCGUCCAAGCUGUCGUGCAAGCUGGGCCGGCCACCGUCGGAGCUAACAAGGACCGUCGGAGUCGCCGUCCAGCCAGCUCACCGUCUCGUGCACCGAUGUGGCUCCGCCUGCCCCCGCCUCCCUCACCGUCGUCCUUGCUUGUCUUCGCCUCCGGGAGGCCGUUCGGCUAGUUUAGGCCGCGGCUCAGCCGCCUCCGGCCACCGUGCGCCCUCGCCUUAGCCCGUCGGAGCUUCGCCUUGCCUCCGCCGCCCUUGGCCGCCUCAACCGGCGCCGGAUCUGCUCCCUCUCAGCCCCGAUCAGCAACCCAGAAAAUGGGUAUGGCAGCCCAUGUUUGGCUCGUUUUGGCCGCCUUCCCGAGCCCGGAUGCUCGGCCCGCUUUGAGGAAAGUUGUUCUCCUCGGCGUCCCCGUCGUUUUGGUCCGCUCGGCUCGCUAAUCCGGUGAGUUUAGCUCACUAAACUUCGCUUAGAGGGUUAAUUAUGCUUUAGGUGUG